GUCACCCGCCGCUUUGCACCCUAGCGCCGCCGCACGCCACGGAUUCCUGCGAAUCGAUCGUCCCGCUCCCGUCGGCGUCGAACCUGCUGAACAGCGUAGAGGCUCGCGAUCUCGUUCGCCGACUACAUCUCGAACUGCGUCGACGACAGCUUGCCGGAGCGCCUCUGCAGCUCGUCGCGUGACAGCACGCCGUUUCCGUCGGCGUCGAGCGUCUUUCUGCUGAAACUGUUGUUAAAAUACAGAGGAAUGAUGAUUGUUGAUCCUCUCUUCCUAUUCUUUUCGCUUAUCAGCAUUUGCAAUUGAGGGCCAAGUCAAAUAUAAAGGCAAAUGGUUUUCAUCACUACGAGAUUUGACAAGAAAAUUGAAGGAAUAGUUGAACUAGAUGUCAAGAUGCAGUUAACCAAUGCGUUGGAUUACUUUUCGUCAACCACUACAAAAAAAAACAAUUGAUUACCGACGGCGUCUGCCGUCGGCGUCGGUAAUUUCGAGGCGGCCACCGAAAAACGGACUACUGGCGGCGUGAUUCCUCAUUGGUAACACGAUUACUGGCGGCAAACAAAUGCCGUCGUUGGGCCGCCGGUAAUUACCGGCGGGAGCUCCGCCGCCGGUAAUUCCGCCGAUAUUUCGGCGUUUUUUUGUAGUGAACGAAGCUUUGUAGAAAUAAUUAGAAGUGUUUGAUCAAUUGUGUACCGUUAUUAUGUAAUUUUUUUUUGUUAUUGUGACAUAAAUAAUGUGUACUUUGAGUAAAUGUUUUUAUAUUAUCAUGUUAUAUUUUAA
This is a long non-coding RNA of Salvia miltiorrhiza (redroot sage), 777 nucleotides long. RefSeq lists it as uncharacterized. The record is from RefSeq and is a predicted model, not a curated record. The transcript has 4 exons. NCBI's taxonomy places the organism in Eukaryota, Viridiplantae, Streptophyta, Magnoliopsida, Lamiales, Lamiaceae.